UGGGGAAUAUUGCACAAUGGGCGAAAGCCUGAUGCAGCAACGCCGCGUGCGGGAAGACGGCCUUAGGGUUGUAAACCGCUUUCAGCAGGGAAGAAAAUGACGGUACCUGCAGAAGAAGGUGCGGCCAACUACGUGCCAGCAGCCGCGGUGACACGUAGGCACCAAGCGUUGUCCGGAUUUAUUGGGCGUAAAGAGCUCGUAGGCGGUUCAGUAAGUCGGGUGUGAAAACUCAGGGCUCAACCCUGAGAGGCCACUCGAUACUGCUGUGACUCGAGUACGGUAGGGGAGCGGGGAAUUCCUGGUGUAGCGGUGAAAUGCGCAGAUAUCAGGAGGAACACCAGUGGCGAAGGCGCCGCUCUGGGCCGUAACUGACGCUGAGGAGCGAAAGCGUGGGUAGCAA
This 400-nucleotide ribosomal RNA is filed under the name uncultured bacterium. RNAcentral describes it as "bacterial SSU rRNA". It matches the Rfam family "Bacterial small subunit ribosomal RNA", at positions 355 to 771 of the family's 1533-position model. The record is from RNAcentral.